Molecule: long non-coding RNA, 840 nt
Filed under: Trifolium pratense (red clover)
Lineage: Eukaryota; Viridiplantae; Streptophyta; Magnoliopsida; Fabales; Fabaceae
Description: long non-coding RNA (TPRA_LNC006197)
Source: RNAcentral
AACCCACUACUCAGGAACAAAAAAAAAUCUGUUUUCUCAGCCUAUAAAUAGAUGGCUUUAGUUAGAUUAUUUUUCACGCAAAAAUUUAGAGAAUUAAGAGAAAAGCAAUUUACUUCUUUUGCAUUCUGUUCAACUCUGUAUUGCAGCAACUUGUUCCGGUUCCUGUUUCUUUUCAAUUCCAGUUUGCUGUUCCUACAGGUUCUCAUUGUUACAUGUUAUUAUUGGUUUGUUUAAUUUCAAUUCACUUUUGUUAUUUAUGUUGCAGUGUCACUGCUUGUUUUAUUUAAUUGAAAUUUUGUUCUUUAUUUUUUAGCUUCUGUUCGGUUACUUUAAUAUUGCUUUGGUUAUUGAGUCUGUCUUUUUUUAAUUACUUAUGUUCUUCAUGUUUAUCACACUUGUCAAUUAUUUAAAUACUAUGUUUUUACUUGCAACUAUGUAUAACUAAUUUAUUAAAACUGGGAUGUGAACUUAAAAGCUAAUUUGGAUUCGGUGAUUAAUUUGUAUACUCAAUUUUUAAACUAGUUUUCUGUAUCAGUUUUUAAUAAUUAAAUUAAUAAUUUUGCACGAGAGUGAAAAUUAACUAAGCUAUAAAUUAAUAGCGCGAUAGUGUGAGAUUUGUACCGGAUAGUAAAAACUGAACAUUAAUUUUAAACACCGCGACAGCUCUUUAAAGUUAAUUAAAUAAUAUUAGUUUUCAAAAAGUAUUUUAUAAAUAAAUGUGAGAGCGAGAGUGAAGCAUUCAUUUAUAUAAUAUAGUAUCAGUUCAAUAGCGCGACGGCGUGAGACUAUAUUUUUAAACUAAUGUUGUUUUGAGAAAACUAGAUCUUUUUAAUUAAAUUG